GACGAACGCUGGCGGCGUGCUUAACACAUGCAAGUCGAACGAUGAAGCUGGAGCUUGCUCCGGUGGAUUAGUGGCGAACGGGUGAGUAACACGUGAGCAAUCUGCCCUUCACUCUGGGAUAACUGCGGGAAACUGUAGCUAAUACCGGAUACGAGACCUUGGGGCAUCCCAGGGUAUGGAAAGAAUUUCGGUGAAGGAUGAGCUCGCGGCCUAUCAGCGAGUUGGUGAGGUAAUGGCUCACCAAGGCGACGACGGGUAGCCGGCCUGAGAGGGUGACCGGCCACACUGGGACUGAGACACGGCCCAGACUCCUACGGGAGGCAGCAGUGGGGAAUAUUGCACAAUGGGCGAAAGCCUGAUGCAGCAACGCCGCGUGAGGGAUGAAGGCCUUCGGGUUGUAAACCUCUUUUAGUAGGGAAGAAGCGCAAGUGACGGUACCUACAGAAAAAGCACCGGCUAACUACGUGCCAGCAGCCGCCGCGG
This 483-nucleotide ribosomal RNA is filed under the name uncultured bacterium. RNAcentral describes it as "partial 16S ribosomal RNA". It matches the Rfam family "Bacterial small subunit ribosomal RNA", at positions 28 to 523 of the family's 1533-position model. The record is from RNAcentral.